UACGUAGGGUGCGAGCGUUGUCCGGAAUUACUGGGCGUAAAGAGCUCGUAGGUGGUUUGUCGCGUUGUCCGUGAAAACUCACAACUCAAUUGUGGGCGUGCGGGCGAUACGGGCAGACUGGAGUACUGCAGGGGAGACUGGAAUUCCUGGUGUAGCGGUGGAAUGCGCAGAUAUCGGGAGGAACACCUGUGGCGAAGGCGGCCAUCUGGACGUCAACUGACGCUGAGACGCGAAAGCAUGGGGAGCAAACAGG
Molecule: ribosomal RNA, 253 nt
Filed under: uncultured bacterium
Lineage: Bacteria
Description: partial 16S ribosomal RNA
Rfam family: Bacterial small subunit ribosomal RNA
Source: RNAcentral